Molecule: unclassified non-coding RNA, 339 nt
Filed under: soil metagenome
Description: partial contains 5.8S ribosomal RNA, internal transcribed spacer 2, and large subunit ribosomal RNA
Rfam family: 5.8S ribosomal RNA (bases 1-121)
Source: RNAcentral
GAUGAAGAAACGUAGCGAAAUGCGAUACGUAGUGUGAAUUGCAGAAUUCAGUGAAUCAUCGAAUCUUUGAACGCACAUUGCACCUCUCGGUAUUCCGGGAGGUAUGCCUGUUCGAGCGUCAUUUGUACCCUCAAGCUCUGCUUGGUGUUGGGUGUUUGUUCCGCCUCUGUGUGUGAACUCGCCUCAAAACAAUUGGCAGCCGGCGUACUUGUUUCGGAGCGCAGCACAUUUUGCGAUCCAGAUCAACGUACAGCGGCAUCCAAGAAGCCUUAUUUAACGCUCUUGACCUCGGAUCAGGUAGGGAUACCCGCUGAACUUAAGCAUAUCAUAAGCGGAGGA